Molecule: long non-coding RNA, 1204 nt
Filed under: Homo sapiens (human)
Lineage: Eukaryota; Metazoa; Chordata; Mammalia; Primates; Hominidae
Description: non-protein coding lnc-WNT10A-4:4
Source: RNAcentral
GAGACGGAGACCUGCGGAGGGCGAGGGCUGGUUGGAGGUCGCUGUCCUUUCUGGGAACCAAGCAGGGGUCGCAGGAGGGCGGGGAUGGGUCAGCGGGGAUCUCUGAGUGGGGUUCGGCUGAGAGAGGCCACAGUUUCAUCUUUGGGAAGCUACCCUGGGCCGGCCACGCGCCGUGAGCCGGACUGGCGACGCCCCCCUGCCUCCACCGUGCUCCUUCACCCGAGAAAUUCAGCUCAGCCCCAGCCUCUCGGCAACCUCCCUUUGGCUCCGCCUUUUAAAGGACCUUUACGGCACCACAAAACUGCGCCCCUGCCUGAUUUCAUUUCAGCAAGCUUUACUGUGAAGUGUUUAUGUGCCAGGUACCAUGUGUAGAAGCGCUGGCCCAGAGAUGAAGAUGAAGUUUCUAUCCUUAAGGCAUGCAAUGUGGGAGAUGAACAGAGACAGGCAAGAGAGCCACAGAAGAGAAAGUGAUGUGAAGACAGAAGCAGGGAUUGGAGUGAUCCAUCUACAAGCCAAGAAAUACCAAUGGUUGCUGCCAGCCACCAGGAUCUAGGAGAGUGGCAUGGAACAGAUUUUCCCUUAGAGCUUCCAGAAAGAACUAACCCUGUCAACACUGUGAUUCUGGACAGUGAGAGAGAAAUUUCUAUUGUUUUAAGCCAUCAAGUUUGUGGUAAUUUGUUAUGGCAACCGUAGGAAACAUCACCCAGUAAAUCCAAAUUAAAUAUUAUCCCAAUUUUUGCUUGAUACCAGAAAUGGCUGUAGUGUUUCAACACCCUCUAGCAUAAGAGAAUUGUAACAGGGGAAGCUGGUGUGGAAACAGACAGCAGUCUGAACCAGUUUGGACAAAAAUACUGGUCUUGCAAAUUUUAGAAAAAGCACACAACCUCUGAACACAUGACUAGGGCCCCUUCCAGGAACUUAGAAGGGGCCCGGCCGAGGGAGAGUCCCUGAAGCUUAUGUUUAAUACAUUUUACAGAAGAGCUGCCUCGGUGUAGGAAGCAGUGUAGUGUUGCGAAGACAAGCUCUGGAGCCAGACACCCUGGGUUCAAAUCCCAAUUUCGCAACUGUCUAGCUGUUGACUUGAGAGAAGUUACUUAGCCUUUCUGCGCCCCAAUUUCUUCCUUCGUAAAAUAUAAAUGGCAGUAGCACUAUCUGCCUCAUAGGGUUGUUUACCUGGUGAAGUAACAUGAUACACAUAAGGCAC